RNAcentral lists this ribosomal RNA (907 nucleotides) under uncultured bacterium. RNAcentral describes it as "bacterial SSU rRNA". It matches the Rfam family "Bacterial small subunit ribosomal RNA", at positions 8 to 916 of the family's 1533-position model. The record is from RNAcentral.
AGAGUUUGAUCCUGGCUCAGGAUGAACGCUAGCGGCAGGCCUAAUACAUGCAAGUCGAACGGUAACAUUUCCUUCGGGAAGAUGACGAGUGGCGCACGGGUGCGUAACGCGUAUGCAACCUACCCUAUACAGGGGGAUAGCCCAGAGAAAUUUGGAUUAAUACCCCAUAGUACUUUAGAGAGGCAUCUUGAAAAGGUUAAAGAUUUAUUGGUAUAGGAUGGGCAUGCGUAAGAUUAGCUAGUUGGUGAGGUAAUGGCUCACCAAGGCGACGAUCUUUAGGGGUUCUGAGAGGAUGAUCCCCCACACUGGCACUGAGAUACGGGCCAGACUCCUACGGGAGGCAGCAGUAGGGAAUAUUGGUCAAUGGGCGAGAGCCUGAACCAGCCAUGCCGCGUGCAGGAAGACGGCCUUCUGGGUUGUAAACUGCUUUUAUAUGGGAAGAAAAUGCCCUUGCGAGGGAAAUUGCCGGUACCAUAUGAAUAAGCACCGGCUAACUCCGUGCCAGCAGCCGCGGUAAUACGGAGGGUGCAAGCGUUGUCCGGAUUUAUUGGGUUUAAAGGGUGCGUAGGCGGCCGAUUAAGUCAGUGGUGAAAGCCAGCAGCUCAACUGUUGAACUGCCAUUGAUACUGGUUGGCUUGAGUUCUGUUAAGGUAGGCGGAAUUGAUGGUGUAGCGGUGAAAUGCAUAGAUACCAUCAGGAACACCGAUUGCGAAGGCAGCUUACUGGGCAUGAACUGACGCUGAGGCACGAAAGCGUGGGGAGCGAACAGGAUUAGAUACCCUGGUAGUCCACGCUGUAAACGAUGAUCACUCGCUGUUGGCGAUAAACUGUCAGUGGCCAAGCGAAAGCGUUAAGUGAUCCACCUGGGGAGUACGCUCGCAAGAGUGAAACUCAAAUGAAUUGACGG